GUCUUUUUGUAUAGCUCCCCUGAAACCUUUCAAAUUCAGCAUUGACAUAAAAAUCAAUGUUUCAAGAGAAGCUGUGAUCGAGCGCUUGAAGGCAAUAAUUAAGAAACAAAAAUUCCCAAUGUGUAUCAAAAAAGGCAUGGAAAUCUCCAGUGGAAACAUCACUACAGUGUGUCUCUCAAACUUGAACAAAUCUGAGUGCAGCUGUGAGAAUCAGUACAUCUGGUCCUCUGAUCAAUGCUCUAAACAUGGCGUUUGUGGCUCGAGUCAAAAUAAUACAUGUGGAUGCAUCAAUUCUCUUCCAACUGAUGGAUCAUUCUGUCGUCCACCAAAAGCUCCACUGAAGUUGUUCAGAUACACCAUUGACAUGAAGAUCAAUGCAUCAAGAGAAGCUGUUAUUGACCACUUAAGGUCAGUAAUACGUACACAGAAAUUCCCAAUGUGUAUCAGGAAAGAGAUGAAAAUUUCCAGUGCAAACAUCACUACAGGUAAGAGAAGCAUGAGUGGAGUAAAUCUGUUCUGUUCACAUUACUCUGACAUUGUUAUGGCUUCUCCAUUACUUUGGAACUUGUUGAAUUUGCAGUUUGUCUCUCAAGUUUGAACAAAUCUGAGUCCAGCUGUGAGAAUCAGUACAUCUGGUUUUCUGAACAAUGCUCUAAUCAUGGCAAUCGAACAUGUGGAUGCAUCACUUCUCCUCUAACUGAUGGAUCAUUCUGUCAGCCACAACCAGGUAAAGAUCACAGUCUUUCUGUUGCAUAAUGUGACAACUGGUGUGAUUGUAAAGCAUGUUUUAACUGGGUAAAUAUUCACAUCUUUGACCAAAUUUUCAGCUAAACUGAAGUCGUUUAGAUACACCAUUGACUUGAAAAUCAAUUCUUCAAGAGAGGCUGUGAUCACCCAUUUCAGGGCAUUGAUUAACAGACAAAAAUUCCCAAUGUGUAUCAGGAAAGGGAUGAAAAUCUCCAGUACAAACAUCACUACAGGUAAGAGAAGUAUGAG
This 996-nucleotide long non-coding RNA is filed under the name Danio rerio (zebrafish). RNAcentral describes it as "lncRNA (ENSDARG00000117303.1)". The record is from RNAcentral. Lineage: Eukaryota; Metazoa; Chordata; Actinopteri; Cypriniformes; Danionidae.